UAAGCAAUUCGACGUGUAAGCUUAGAAAAAAUACUUGUAAACUGUCAAAAAUGAUUUGUCAAUACUUUGAAAUAAUGUGAGACUUACAGAAAUCUCCAACGACUCUCAUUUCGUGGCUUGCAACCGGUGACAAUUGAAUUUUCACAAAAUAUUGAUUAUUCUGAACGACCUAUAUCAUCAUGUGAAAACGUGUAUUUUCCGUUCGGUACUGCACAAAGUAUGUUUUUGAAAUGCGUCUAUUUAUUUUAGUUUAGACGAUUCACCGAUGGUUUAAAGUUGAUGUUGGAUUUGUUUGAACUGUCACAAUCUAGCACUAGCUCACGUUUACCUAAGUGGUGUAGCUAUUAAAACAUGUGUACCAGAUUGUGCUGCGAAUCAGUGUUUUAAGUGUAAGGGGAUCAUAAAUUUAUUUCAUAAUUUCAUCCAUACUAAUGGUGUUGCCAUAUAUUUGGAGAAACAGAAACUUAUUGAGAAAAAAGUACAAAGUCAUAACUUUAUAUAUAUGGAGGAUAUUUGACGUGCCAAACAUGUUGGAUAAAAUUUACUCAGGCAGUCCUCCAUGCACUCUUGAUGUUGAAUACCAUUAUCCCUGGGAUUUUGCUCAGUACGUGCAUUAUCCAUAUCAUUUACAACAAGUGGGACUAAUUUAGUUCCGUACCCUAAGGAAGCGCCAUGUGUUUGGUGCAAACAGACUUUUAUUUUAUUGAUGAAAGUCAGCGCACUGGAAAAGGAGUGGAAAGUGUGGUGUCUAGGGCUCAUCAUUAUUUGCAUUUCUAUGGCAUAGGAGAAAAACAUGCACAGGUUGUAUAAUACUAAAACAAAACAUGUUAUACCUUAAUAUAUUUCAUUGAAUCUGACUAUUGUAAAAAAGCAACACCUAUUGGCAAAUGGCACACUAAAGAGAACAGAAAGGUGCAAACAACUGCAGGCUAACUAUGGUUUAUGACAUGGUUUUAAAAUCACCAGCAGUAUAAUUGCAAAAAUGCAAGCAUUAAAUUUUAAAGUGCUCGAUUGUCAAAAUAUCAAGUUAAUUUUAUUUAUUCUUUAAAGGCAAUGCCACAAUUAUCAGAUUAAGCAUUGAUGUACUUAUAAACUCUUGUUGUAUCUUAAUACAUAGGUAGAUUAACUGGAUUAGUUGACCAUAUAAUGUAACACCUGAGUUAAUUUUACCUGUAAAUAAUUGACCAAUCAUUGUUUGAUUGGAGAAAUGUAUAUUAUAUCUUUUUGAAUAAGCUUACACCUGAACUGACUUUUGACUAGAGCACAUGACAUUUUAUAAAAUGCAUAAAAGGACAUUAUAGAAUAUUUGGCAGAAGUUUAUUUAAAAGAAUCUUGAAAUUUCCUAGUUAAUUAGCAAGGCGAUACUUUAUGGUCAGAAGUAUUUUCCUGUUUAUUGAGCUUGUCACUGGAAACCAGAUAUCAGGGUUGGUUGGAGGAGAGAUACUCGUAGCUCUUGGUAUUGGUAGUGGGUGCCUUCAACACGGCUUUGUAGCACAGUUGAGAUCUUUGACUGAUGUGGAGAGCUGGUAUAGGAACGAGUACAGUAACUGAAACAUUGUACAGUGGUUGGAUGUUUCCGUCAUAAGUAUUAAUGUCGGUGUCUGGACUAUAUUUAGAUAUUUAUAUGGUCGGAGUAUUUCAAUAAUACUGAACAGUUUUCUACUACAAGAAACAUUGACCAAAUCUGUUGGUCGGAGUUGAACUAACUUUAGUGUUGAUAACAUUGAGGAUCAUGCAUUGGUUGGUGAUUCUAGAGACAUUCAGUUCUUAAGACGGAAAUGUUAGGUGGAAGUGUUGUUGGUUGGUCUAGAUUUGAUUCCAGGAUUACAGAACUUUUCAUUAUUUAACAGAAUAUCUUUGUUUUAUAUGCAUAAUAUACUUCAUAUUUAAUUUGAUUAUUAAAAGAUUGAUCAAAGUUAAUUAAAUUUGUUAGGUGGUUAUUGCAGUAGUAGAGCUACCCACUCUGGCCAAUCCUGACUUGUGACAUUGAUCUUUUCUUUUUUAAUUUAAAAAUAAAUAAUCUUUAUUAUAUGAAGCAAGAUUUUCUUCCAUUUGUACUCAUUAUUGUAAUAAUAAGUAUUACAAAUAACAAAUAUGACUAUGAUAUCAUUUUAGUAAAGGAUAAAAUCUGUUUAAAGAAUAAAUCUUAUCGUGCUGUUGUGAUGCAUAUUUUGCUGUUGUGAUGCAUAUUUUGCAUAUCAAAAGGUUGAAAAAUCUCUAGCAGUUUCACCAAAGGGGGUGUGUUUAUUUACUUUUCUUCUUUAUACGAAAACAAGCCUACUGACCCAUUGCUUUUAUUUGUUCAUUGUUUUCAGCAUUUUUUUCCUAUACUAUAUGUACAUUUGAAAAAAAUCUAUGAAUGGAAACUGUAGGAUUUAUCUUGAAUGAAGAAACAUUGAAAAAAAGAAUAGAAAACUUAAACAAAUAAUGUGGAAAUAUUUUACAGCAAAUAAUACCUAUACUUAUGUA
Long non-coding RNA from Mercenaria mercenaria, 2469 nucleotides. RefSeq lists it as uncharacterized. The record is from RefSeq and is a predicted model, not a curated record. NCBI's taxonomy places the organism in Eukaryota, Metazoa, Mollusca, Bivalvia, Venerida, Veneridae. The transcript has 4 exons.